RNAcentral lists this ribosomal RNA (449 nucleotides) under uncultured bacterium. RNAcentral's name for it is "partial 16S ribosomal RNA". It matches the Rfam family "Bacterial small subunit ribosomal RNA", at positions 29 to 523 of the family's 1533-position model. The record is from RNAcentral.
AACGAACGCUGGCGGCAGGCCUAACACAUGCAAGUCGAACGGGACCUUCGGGUCUAGUGGCGGACGGGUGAGUAACGCGUGGGAACGUGCCCUUUGGUUCGGAAUAGCCCUGGGAAACUGGGAGUAAUACCGGAUACGGUCGAGAGACGAAAGAUUUAUCGCCGAAGGAUCGGCCCGCGUUGGAUUAGGUAGUUGGUGGGGUAAUGGCCUACCAAGCCGACGAUCCAUAGCUGGUUUGAGAGGAUGAUCAGCCACACUGGGACUGAGACACGGCCCAGACUCCUACGGGAGGCAGCAGUGGGGAAGCUUAGACAAUGGGGGAAACCCUGAUCUAGCCAUGCCGCGUGAGCGAUGAAGGCCUUAGGGUUGUAAAGCUCUUUCAGUGGGGAAGAUAAUGACGGUACCCACAGAAGAAGCCCCGGCUAACUCCGUGCCAGCCGCCGCGGUAA